This 23820-nucleotide small RNA is filed under the name Pan troglodytes (chimpanzee). RNAcentral describes it as "processed transcript". Lineage: Eukaryota; Metazoa; Chordata; Mammalia; Primates; Hominidae. The record is from RNAcentral.
GACUUUUCUCUCCAGAAUGACUAUCCUCCAUUUCUAGGUCCCAAAUCACAACCAUGAAGUUGAUCUUAUGGUACUUGGUUGUGGCACUUUGGUGCUUCUGCAAAGAUGUGGAAGCCUUACUUUACCGACAAAAAUCAGAUGGUAAAAUAGCAGCAAGCAGAUCAGGUGGCUUCUCUUAUGGUAGUUCAUCCUCUGGUGACUUGGACAGAAAAAAGCCACUCUUUAGCUUGGAAUUUGGUUCUCCAGGAGAGACUGAAGACAAGCCCAGACAACGUCAGGAUGCUGGGAGUUCAAAGUCAGAAGACACCCCAGCAGGUGGCUUUUUUCACAGAAGUUCAUCCUCAGACAGGAAAAAGCCAUUCUUUAGCUUAGGACUUGGUGCUCCAGGAAAGGCUGAAGACAAGUCCGGAGACAGUCAGGAUGCUGGAAGUUCAAAGUCAGAAGACACCCCACCAGGUGGCUUUUUUAAUGGUAGUUCAUCCUCUGGUGACUCAGACCAAAAAAAGCCACUCUUUAGCUUUGAAUUUGGUGCUACAGGAGAGGAUGAAGACAAGUCCAGAGAACGCUGGGAUGCUGGGAAUUCAAGGUCAGAAGACAGCCCAGCAGAUAGCACCAACACAAGAUAUGGUGCUGACUUUAGUAGCAGUGGUGCCUCUCUGGAUGUGGGAUUUGGUUGGGGGAUAUCUGAUGAAAAGGGAUUGGAAGUCAGUAAAGCUGAUGGGAGAGAAACUAGAGGCAGUGGAUCUGCUGGGGGUGAAACCAUAGUCUUUGGACCUGAUGCAGGUAGCUCAGUUGGAACUGGUUCUUCUGGUUUGAAACUUGGAGCAGGGAAAGGUGAUGCUGCAUUUGGUUUUGAAGUUUCUGAUUCGAAUUCAUUUGGUGACACUGGCAUUAGUAGCAAAACAGUUGAAGGAACUCAAACGAGUAGUUCUGGAGGAUCUGUUUCCAUUGAUCUAUGUGAUACCAGUUUCAGAAGUGAGAAUCAAUUUGUUGGUGGUGGCUCUCUAAAUUCGAUAUCCAAUUUAUGGGAUUCUGGUCAAGAGGGAUUUGGAAUCAAUGAAAUUGGAGGGAAUGGAAUGAGUGGCAGUGUACCUGCUAAGGCUGGAUUCAAAGGUUUUGGAUCUGAUUCAAGUAGCUCAGGUGAUUCAAGUGCAAGAAAUGGGUUUGAAAAUUCUAGUGGUAUCUCUGAAGAUUCAGGAGUCAUAUUGGGGUCAUCUGAUCAACAUGAAGUUGAACUCAGUAGAACUGGUGGGAAUAGAAAGAGAAACAGUGAACCUGCUGAGGCUGGAAACUUGAGUCCUGGAUCUGAUGUCAGUGACUCAGGAGGAAACACUUGGUCUUCUGAUUCUGGAAGUGGUGGAGGAAGUGUCACAAGCUCGUCUGAAUAUAGUACGUCUGGACCACUCAGUACUCCAGAAAAAGGAUCCCACAUUCCAGAAGCAACUCCAAAAUACUCAGAAACAAAUGCAAUUAUUGGUGAAAUAUCUACCUGGAGCAAAGGAGCAUAUAAAUCUUUCAACGGCCGCAUCUUUUUCUUUGAAUCUUCAUGCCCGUACACUUUCUGCCGUCACUGCGUUGAAUCUGGAGGGGAUUUCAAUAUUGAGAUCAAACGAAACAAUGAUAGUGAGAUUGAAAAAAUAACAGUUCUAAUUGACAAUAACGACAUCUCUAUUUUUGGUGACACCAUUUUAGUUAAUGGAGAAAGAUACCAUAUAACAAUAAGUUGAUUCACAUAAAAAAAUAUGGAGAACAUAAUGUUCUGAAUAGCCGUAGAGGAAUCCUGACUUUAAUGUGGGACAAAAAUAACAAACUCUCACUCACUCUUCACAAGCAGUAUCCAACUUGUGGUCUUUGUGGUAACUUCAACAGCACUCCAGGGCAAGAUAUUAAUGAGCACAUUGCCAAUAGUAAAAUUCCUGGUGAUUGUCCCAAUGCUGUUGGAAAAAGCUAUGAAGUUUGUGAAGAUGGAAUACAGCACUGUAACAAAAUUAUUGGAACCUACUUUGAGAAAUGUGGAAAGGUUGCUGCUCUAUCCAAUGACUACAAAAUGAUCUGCAUUGAUGAAUACUGCCAAACUAGAGACAAAACAUCUACAUGUGACACUUAUUCAGAACUGUCCCGCCUCUGUGCCUCAGAUGGUCCUGGCACCUUUGAAUCCUGGCGAAGCGAUUCCGAUGUGGUUUGUGAAACACAAAGAUGUCCAGAACAACAUAUCUACAAAGAAUGUGGACCCUCCAACCCUGCAACUUGUUCUAAUGUGGCUCCUUUUCAAGACAGUGAAUGUGUGAGCGGCUGCACCUGCCCAGAAGGUUAUCUGUUGGAUGACAUUGGAGAGAAAGGAAAAUGUGUAUUAAAAGCUGAAUGUCCCUGUGAAUCCAGUGGAACAGUGUAUCCGCCAGGAGAAGUCCGAGAAGGUCCUUGUGGUUCUCAGUGCACAUGCCAAGAUGCAAAGUGGUCUUGCACCGAAGCAUUAUGCCCUGGAAGAUGUAAGGUGGAAGGAAGUUCCCUUACCACCUUUGAUGGUGUUAAGUACGACUUUCCUGGAAACUGCCACUUCCUGGCCAUUCACAAUGAAGAUUGGUCUAUUAGUGUUGAGCUCCGUCCGUGCCCAAGUGGUCAGACAGGAACGUGCUUAAAUAGCGUUACACUUCUCUUGAAUUCUUCUGUUCCAGUUGAUAAAUACAUAUUCAACAGUGAUGGAACAGUCACAAAUGACAAGAUUAGAAAUCAAGGUUAUUACUAUUCAGAUAAAAUACAGAUACUCAAUGCAUCUUCCUCAUACCUUCAAGUAGAAACAUACUUUCAUGUGAAACUACAAAUACAAAUUGUUCCUGUGAUGCAAUUGUAUGUUUCUAUGCCACCCAACCAAUUCACAGACACUGUGGGACUCUGUGGUUCCUACAACAACAAAGCAGAGGAUGAUUUCAUGUCAAGUCAGAAUAUAUUGGAGAAGACAUCUCAGGCAUUUGCUAACUCUUGGGAAAUGAUGUCCUGUCCUAAAGGAAACCCCUCUUCAUGUAUUAGUAUAGAAAAAGAAAAAUUUGCUGAAAGGCACUGUGGAAUUCUUCUUGAUUCAAGUGGGCCUUUUGCUUCCUGCCACCCAAUUGUGAACCCUAAACCCUAUCAUGAGGAAUGCAAAAAAUAUACUUGCACUUGUGAAAACAGUCAGGACUGCCUAUGUACAAUUUUAGGCAACUAUGUGAAAGCGUGUGCUGAGAAGGAAACAUACAUAGUGGGAUGGAGAACUGGCCUAUGUGAACAUUCUUGCCCAAGUGGCCUAGUGUUCAAGUACAAUGUAAAAGCCUGUAAUAGUUCUUGCCGAUCCUUGUCAGAAAGAGAUAGGAGCUGUGAUGUAGAAGAUGUUCCAGUUGAUGGAUGCACCUGCCCUGAUGAAAUGUACCAGAAUAAUGAAGGAAACUGUGUACUGAAAUCUCAGUGUGACUGUUACAUAAAUGACGAGGUCAUGCAACCAGGCAAACUCAUCCAUAUUGAUGACAAUAAAUGCGUCUGUCGGGAUGGAAUUCUUCUUUGCCAGAUUCCCAUUGAUUUAACCCUACAAAAUUGUUCUGGAGGGGCUGAGUAUGUAGACUGCAGUGAUCCCAAGGCACAGAGAAGAACCGACAGAACAUGCAGUACUCGGAACAUACCUGUUUUUGAUGAGAACUUGCCUUGCAAACGUGGGUGCUUUUGUCCAGAAGGAAUGGUUCGAAAUUCUAAAGGGAUAUGUGUUUUUCCUAAUGACUGUCCAUGCUCUUUUGGUGGACGAGAAUAUGAUGAAGGAAGUGUCACUUCUGUUGGCUGCAAUGAAUGUACCUGCAUUAAAGGGUCUUGGAGUUGUACCCAAAAUGAAUGUCAAACCAUCUGCCACAUCUAUGGGGAAGGUCAUGUUAGAACUUUUGAUGGGAAGAGUUACAGUUUUGAUGGUCUCUGCCAGUAUUCAUUUCUUGAGGAUUAUUGUGGUCAUGAAAAUGGCACAUUUCGUAUUUUAACGGAGAGUGUUCCAUGCUGUGAAGAUGGGCUAACGUGCUCAAGAAAAAUUAUAGUUGCUUUUCAGGAUCAGAAUAUUGUCUUGCAAGAUGGUAAAGUAACAGCAGUCAAAUCUACAGAAAGUAAGAAAUGUGAACUCAAUGCAAAUGCAUACUCCAUACAUACUGUUGGCCUGUACUUAAUUCUGAAAUUUCAAAAUGGAAUAAUCGUGAUUUGGGACAAAAAUACAAGACUGUCUGUUAUUCUGGAUCCAAACUGGAAUGGCAAAGUGUGUGGUCUUUGUGGAAAUAACAAUGGUGAUCUCAAGGAUGAUUUCACAACAAGAUACUCUUCAGUAGCUUCUGGAGCACUGGAAUUUGGGAAUAGUUGGAAAACAAGCCAAGAAUGUUCAGAUACAGUGGCUCAGACUUUCCCAUGUGAUUCAAACCCAUACUGUAAAGCCUGGGCUGUGCGGAAAUGUGAAAUCCUCAGAGACAGCACCUUCAGAGACUGCCACAACAAGGUAGCAUUGUUCUGACAGCAGUGACUUACACAGGGUUUCCACCCAGAGACUCAUGUGCUGUGCUCUGCCUAGGUUGACCCCAGUGCUUACUAUGAUGCAUGCAUUGAAGAAGCCUGUGCAUGUGACAUGGAGGGGAAGUACCUGGGAUUCUGCACUGCUGUGGCUAUGUACGCAGAGGCGUGUAGUGCAGUUGGAGUCUGUGUCUCAUGGAGAAAACCAAAUCUGUGUCCUGUCUACUGUGAUUACUACAAUGCGCCUGGGGAAUGCAGAUGGCAUUAUGAACCUUGUGGCACAGUGACUGCAAAAACAUGCAAAGAUCAGCUCGUUGGCCAGAAAUUUUCUUCACUUUUAGAAGGUUGUUAUGCUAAGUGCCCAGAUAGUGCUCCUUACCUGGAUGAGAACACCAUGAAAUGUGUCGGUUUAUCUGAGUGCAGCUGUUUCUAUAAUGAUGUCAUACCAGCAGGGGGAGUGAUUGAAGAUAAUUGUGGAAGAACAUGCUACUGUAUUGCAGGGCAGUUGGUGUGCAGUGAAACUGCUCCUACCAAUUCAACAUUUGCAGUUUCCACUACAACAGCUACCACCAUAUUAAGCACCGGAGCAGCAAUUACACUGGUUACCGGUGGCCCAAGCACAGCAGCAUCCAUUCCAGCAAUUACAACAUCAAGCAGUGAAACAACAGGAACAACUCUAGGUCCUCUCACCGAACCUUUUACUACAGGCAUUACUGAAACUUCAGCUCCCAUCAUCUCAACAUCUGGAAAUGCAGGCAUGACAGGAGUAGUGAGCUCCACCGUCACUGGUGCUUCAGGCAUGGCAGGAACAACUGGAGGAGUGGAUGCAGCCACCACUGGAGCUGCUAGUGAAAAUACAUCUGAGAGAGCAGGCACACCGAGGGUAUCUGGAGCAACCCCUGCAGUCGGAAGUGGCAGUACCCCUGGAGAAGCAGGCCCUGGAGCCACAGUUUCUGGAAGUACAGGAGUUUCUGCAGGCUCCACCACUGCCAGCCCUGGAGCCUCAGCCACAACCUCUGAAAGCAGCAAAUCAGGAACUACUGGACCCUCAGUGGGUGGAAAAACUGGAGCCACAAGCAGUGAAGCGACAUCAUCUGAAGGCAUGUCAGGUGUAACAGGACAGUCUCUUGGAUCUACUGCUGGAUCUGACAGUGAAAUCACAGCUAAAACAUCUUUCACUGGUUCCAGUCCACCUGGGAAACUCACCAGGCCAAGCCCGGGCUCACCUGGUCACUUUAGUGGUGGAACAACUGAAGGGGGAAAUGUAGCCACCACUGGAGCUGCUGGUGAAAACACUUCUGGAGCAUCAGGUUCAGCAGAAGGGUCUGUGGAAGCCACCACCAGCGCAGGCAGUGGAAACGCAGCUGGAACAUCAGGUACUGGGGACACUGGCCCUGGAAACACAGCAGUCUCAGGCACACCUGUGGUAUCACCUGGAGCAACUCCUGGAGCUCCAGGUAGCAGCACCCCUGGGGAAGCAGACAUUGGAACCACCAGUUUUGGAAAAUCAGGGACCCCAACAGUAUCUGCUGCCUCAACUACCAGUAGCCCUGUGAGUAAACACACCGAUGCAGCCUCAGCCACAGCAGUGACAAUCUCUGGAAGCAAACCAGGUACACCUGGAACACCAGGUGGUGCAACUAGUGGAGGCAAAAUUACAUCUGGAUGGUCCAGCAGUGGCGCCAGCACGGGCUCUUCAAAUACACCAGGGGCAACUGGAUCAUCGACCGGACAGACAGAGACAAGUGGACCAUCAGCUAAAGUAACAGGGAAUUAUGGACAAUCAUCUGAAAUACCAGGGACAAUUAAAUCAUCAUCUGAUGUUUCAGGGACAAUGGGGCAAUCAGAUGCAACAUCUGGACCAUCAGUUGCAGUGACAAGCACUUCUGAACAAUCGUCAGGAGUCACGGUGGCAUCUGAACCAUCAGUUGGAGUAUCAGGGACAACUGGACCAUCAGCUGAAAUAUCAGGGACAACCAGACCAUUAGUUUCAGGGUUAAGGACAACUGGAUCAUCAGCUGAAGGAUCAGGGACAACUGGACCUUCAUCAAGAGAAUCAGUGACAACUAGACCAUUAGCUGAAGGUUCAGGGACAAGUGGACAAUCGGUUACAGGAUCAAGAGCAACUGGAUUAUCAGCUACAGAAUUAGGGACAACUGUAUCUUUUACUGGAGGAUUGGGUACAAGUAGAUCAUCUGCUAGAGAAACACGGACAACUGGACCAUCAGCUGAUGGGUCCGGAACAACUGGACCAUCUGUUGUGAGAUCAGGGACAACUAGAUUAUCAGUUGGAGUGACAAGAGCAACUGAAUCAUCACCUGGAGUGACAGGAACAACUACACCAUCAGCUGAAAAAUCCAGGACAACAGGACCAUCUGUUCUAGUGACAGGAACAACUGGACAAUCAGGCCAAGGAUCAGGGACAACUGGAAAAUCUUUUAUAGAAUCAGGACCAUCUGUUGUAGGAUCAGGGACAACUGGACCAACAUCUGCAGGAUUAGGAACAACUGUACCAUCAACCAGAAGAUCAAGCACAACAAAACCAUCAGUUGGAAGAACUGGGACAACUGGACAAUCAGGUGCAGAAUCAGGAACAACUGAACCAUCAGCUAGAGUGACAGAUGUAACUGGAACAUCAGCUGAAGUAUCAGGAAGAAUUGAACCAUCAGCUACAGAAUCAGGUACAAGUAGACCACUAGGUGAAACAACAGGGACAACUAUACCAUCAACGGAAGGAUCAGAGGCAACUGGACCAUCUGUCAUUGGAUCAGAAACAACUAGACUAUCAGUUAUAGGAUCAGGGACAACUGGAACUUCAUCUGGAGGUUCAGGUGCAACAAGAUCAUCAGGUGGAGGAAUGGGGACAACUGGACAAUCAACUGCAAGAUCAGAAACAACUGGACCACUUUUUGGAUGGACAGGAACAUUUGGGCAAUCUGCUACAGUGACUGAGACAUCUUCAAAUUCAGCUGGAGUGACAACAUCUGAAAAAUCACCUGGAGUGGCAAUGACAACAGGACUGUUGGUUGAAGGAUCAGCUACAACUCAACCACGUAUUUUAGAAUCAGAAACAACUGAAUCAUCAGCUGGAGUGAUAGUGACAUCUGGACAAUCAGCCAGAGUGACUGGGGCAACUGGACCAUCAGCUGGAGAGACAGGAACAACUGAACCAUCAACUGAAGGAUCAGUUGCAACUGUAUUAUUUGUUAUUGGAUCAGAAACAACUAGACCAUUAGAUAUAGGAUCAAGGACAACUGGAACUUUAUCUGGAGGUUCAAGUACAACAAGAUCAUCAGAUGGAACAACAGGGACAACCAGAAAAUCAACUGCAAGAUCAGAAACAACUGGACCACUUUCUGGAUUGACGGGAACAUCUGGGCAAUUGGCUGGAGUGACUGGGACAUCUUCAAAAUCAGCUGGAGUAACAGUGACAUCUGAAAAAUCAGCUGGAGUUGCAGUGACAAUAGGAUCAUUUGUUGAAAGACCAGUCACAACUGGACCACCUCUUUUAGAAUCAGAGACAACUAGACCAUCAGGUGGAGUAACAGUGACAUCUGGACAAUCAGCCAGAGUGACUGAAACAGUUGGAGCAUCAGCUGGAGUGAUAGGAACAACUGGACCAUCAACUGAAGGAUCAGGGGCAACUGGACCAUCUGUUGUGGGAUCAGGAACAACUAGACCAUUAGCUGGUGAAUCAGGUACAACUGAGUCAUCAGCUGGAGUGACAGGGACAAGGCCAUCAUCAUCAAGAGAAUCAGCAACAACUGGACCAUCAGAUGAAGGAUCAGGAACAACUGGACUAUCCGCUGGAGUGGCAGUGACAUCUGGACAAUCAGUUAGAAAGACUGGGACAACUGGAGCACCAGCUGGAGUUACAGAAACAACAAGACCAUCUGUUGUCAAAUCAGGGACAACUGGACCAUCUGUUAUAGGAACAAGGACAACUGGAACUUCAUCAGGAGGAUCAGGUGCAACAAGAUCAUCAGGUGGAGAAACAGAGACAACUGGCCAAUCAGCUGUAAAAUCAGGGACAACAGAAUCAUUUACUAGGUUUACAAGAACAUCUGGGCAAUCAGCUGGAAUGACUGGGACAUCUGCACAAUCAGCUGGAGUGGCACUAACAAGUCCUUUUGUUGAAGGAUUAGUGACAACUGGAUCAUCUACUGUAGGAUUAGAGACAACUAGAUCUUCAGCUGUAGGAUCAGGAACAACUGGACCUCCUGUUGUAAAAGCACAGACAACUGGACCAUCAGCUGGAGUGACAGUGACAUCCAGACAAUCAGCUAGAAUGACUGGGGCAAGUGGACCAUCAGUAGGAGUGACAGGAACAACUGGACCAGCAAGUAAAGGAUUAGGGACAAUUAGACCAUCUGUUGUAGGAUUAGAGACUACUGAACUAUCAGCUGAAGAAUCAGGGACAACUGGACCACCUAUUGUAGGAGAGACAACUGUACCAUCAGCUGGAGUGACAGUUACAUCUGGAUACUCAGAUAGAGUGACUGGGGCAACUGAACCAUUGGCUGGAGUAACAGGAACCAUUAAACCAUCUGUUGCAGGAUCAGUGACAACUGGACCAUCUGUUACAGGAGUAGAGACAACUGCAAAAACUUCAUCUGGAGGAUUAAGUACAACUAUAUCGUCAGUUGGAGGAACAGGGACCACUGGACAAUCACCUGAAAGAUCAGGGACAAUAGGACCAUUUACUGGAUUGACAGGGACAUCUGCACAAUCAGCUGGAGUGACAAUGACAUCUAUCCAAUCAGCUGGAGUGCUAGUAACAACAGGACUAAAUGUUGAUGGCUUAGGGACAACUGGAAAAGCUCUUAUAGGAUCAGGAACAACUGGAUUAUCAGCUGAAGCUACAGGGACAAUUGGACCAUCAACUGAAGGAUUAGAGAAAACUGGACCAUCUAUUACUGGAUCAGGAACAACCAGACCAUUAGUUACAGAAUCAUGGACAGCUGGAACUUCAUCUGGAGGACAUAGUACAACAAGUCCAUCAGUUAGAGGAACAGAGACAACUGGACAAUCAGCUGCAGAAUCAGUGACAACAGGGCCAGUUACGGGAUACACAGAAACCUCUGGUCCAUCAGCUGGAGUGACAGUGACACCUCGGCAAUCACCUACAGUGACUCAGACAACUGGAUCAUCAGCUGCAAUAUCAGGGACAACUGUACAAUCUCUUACAGUAUCAGGGACCACUAGACCAUCAUCUGGACAAACAGAAAUAACUGGAUCAUCAGUUAAAGAAUCAGGGACAACUGAAUCAUCAGCUGUAAGGUCAGGGACUACUGGACCAACAGCUGGAGUGACAGGUACAAAUGGACCAUCAUCAGCUGGAGCGACAGGGAUAACUGGAUCAUCAGCUGGAGUGACAGGGACAACUGGAUCAUCACCUGGAGUGACAGGGACAACUGGAUCAUCUGCAAGAUCAGGGACAAGUAUACCAUCAGUUGGAAAAACAGGAACAACUAGAACAUCAGUUGAAGAAUCAAGGACAACUAGACCAUCAGCAGGAAUAACAGGUACAAAUGGACUAUCAGCUGAAGUGACAGGGACAACUGGACCAUUAGCUGGAGUGACAGGGACAACUGGACCAUCAGCUGGAGUGACAAGGACAACUGGACUGUCAGCUGGAGAGACAGGGACAACUGGACUAUCACCUGGAGUGACAGGGACAACAAGAUCAUCAGCUGGGCUAACAGGGAAAACAGGAAUAUCAGCUGGGGUGACAGGGAAAACUAGACUGUCAGCUGAAGUGACAGGGACAACUACACUAUCAGCUGGAGUGACAGGGACAACUGGACCAUCACCUGGAGUAACAGGUACAACUGGAACACCAGCUGGGGUUACAGGGACAACUGAACUGUCAGCUGGAGUGACAGGGAAAACUAGAUCAUCAGCUGGAGUGACAGGGACAACAGGACUAUCAUCUGAAGUGACAGAAACAACCGGAUUAUCAUAUGGGGUGAAAGGGACAACUGGACUAUCAGCUGGGGCGACAGGGACAAUUGGAUCAUCAGCUGGAGUGGCAGGGACAACAAGACUAUCAGCUGGAGUGACAGGGACAAGUGGACAAUCAGCUGGAGUGGCAGGGACAACUACACUAUCAGCUGAAGUGACAGGGACAACUAGACCAUCAGCUGGGGUAACAGGGACAACAGGACUAUCAGCUGAAGUGACAGAGAUAACUGGAAUAUCAGCUGUGGUGACAGGGACAACUGGACCAUCAGCUGGGGUGACAGAGACAACUGGAUCAUCAGCUGGAGUGGCAGGGACAACAAGACUAUCAGCUGGAGUGACAGGGAUAACUGAACUAUCAGCUGGAGUGACAGGGACAACUGGACUGUCAACUGAAGUGACAGGGACAACUGGACCAUCAGCUGGGGCGACAGGGACAACUGGACUAUCAGUUGGAGUGACUGGGAUAACUGGGCUAUCAGAUGUAGUGACAGAGACAACUGGAUCAUCUGCAAGAUCAGGGACAGGUAUACCAUCAGUUGGAGAAACAAGAACAACUAGCACAUCAGUUGAAGAAUCAAGGACAACUAGACCAUCAGCUGGAAUAACGGGUACAAAUGGACUACCAGCUGAAGUGACAGGGACAACUGAACCAUUAGCUGGAGGGACAGGGACAACUGGAAUAUUAGCUGGGGUGACAGGGACAACUGGACUAUCAGCUGGGGAGACAGGGAAAACUGGAUCAUCAGCUGGGGAGACAGGGAAAACUGGAUCAUCAGCAAGAGUGACAGGAAAAACUGGACCAUCAGCAGAAGUAACAGGGAAAACUGGACUAUCAGCUGGAGUGACGGGGACAACUGGACUAUCACCUGGAGUGACAGGGACAAGUGGAAUAUCAGCUGAAGUGACAGGGACAACUGGCCCAUCAGCUGAAGCUACAGGGCUACCUGGAGUAUCAGCUGGGGUGACAGGGACAAUUGGAUCACUAGCUGGAGGGACAGGGACAAUUGGACUAUCAGCUGGGGUGACAGGGACAAUUGGAUCAUCAGCUGAGGUGACAGGGACAACUGGACUAUCAGCUGGGGUGACAGGGAUAGCUGGACUCUCAGCUGGGGUGACAGGGAUAACUGGACCAUCAGCUGGAGUGACAGGGACAACUACAGUAUCAGCUGGAGUAACAGGGACAACUGGACUAUCAGCUGAAGCAACAGAGAUAACUGGACUAUCAGCUGGGGUGACAGGGACAACUGGACUAUCUGCUGGGGUGACAGAGACAAUUAGACUAUCAGCUGAGGUGACAGGGACAAUUAGAUCAUCAGCUGGGGUAACAGGGGUAACUGGACUAUCAGCUGGAGUGACAGGGACACCUGGACCAUCAGCUGGUGUGACAGGGUCAACUGGACUAUUAGCUGGGGUGACAGAGACAACUGGACAGUCAGCUAAAGUGACAGGGACAACUGGACAAUCUAUUGGAGUGACAGGGACAACUAGAUCAUCAGGUGGAGUGACAGGGAUAACUGGACUAUCAGCUGGAGUGACAGGGACAAAUGGACUAUCAGCUGUGGUGACAGGGAUGACUGGACUAUCAGCUGAGGUGACAGGGACAACUGGACUAUCAGUUGGGGUGACAGGGAUAGCUGGACUCUCAGCUGGGGUGACAGGGAUAACUGGACCAUCAGCUGGAAUAACAGGGACAACUACCAUAUCAGCUGGAGUAACAGGGACAACUGGACUAUCAGCUGAAGCAACAGGGAUAACUGGACUAUCGGCUGGGGUGACAGGGAAAACUGGACCAUCUGCUGGAGUGACAGAGACAAUUGGACUAUCAGCUGAAGCAACAGGGACAAUUGGGUCAUCAGCUGGGGUGACAGGGACAACUGGAUCAUUAACUGGGGUGACAGGGAUAACUGGAUUAUCAGCUGGAGUGACAGGGACAACUGGAUUGUCAACUGAAGUGACAGGAACAACUGGACCAUCAGCUGGGGUGACAAGGACUACUGGACUAUCAGCUGGAGUGACUGGGAUAACUGGGCUAUCAGCUAUAGUGACAGAGACAAUUGGAUCAUCCGCAAGAUUAGGGACAAGUAUCCCAUCAGUUGGAGAAACAGGAACAACUAGGACAUCAGUUGAAGAAUUAAGGACAACUAGACCAUCAGCUGGAAUAAUGGGUACGAAUGGACUAUCAACUGAAGUGACAGGGACAAUUGGACCAUUAGCUGGAGGGACAGGGACAACUGUACUAUCAGCUGGGGUGACAGGAACAAUUGGAUCAUCAGCUGUGGUGACAGGGACAACUGGACUAUCAGCUGGAGUCACAGGGACAACUGGACCAUCAGCUGAAGAGACAGGGGCAACUGGACCAUCAGCCAAAGUGACAGGGACAACUGGACCAUCAGCUGGGGUGACAGGGACAGGUAGACUAUCAGCUGAAGUGACAGGGACAACUGGACCAUCCGCUGGGGUGACAGGGACAGGUAGACUAUCAGCUGAAGUGACAGGGACAACUGGCCCAUCAGCUGAAGUGACAGGGCUAUCUGGAGAAUCAGCUGGGGUGACAGGGACAAUUGGAUCACCAGCUGGAGUGACAGGGACAACUCAGCUAUCAGCUGUGGUGACAGGGAUAAGUGGACUAUCAGCUGAGGUGACAGGGACAACUGGACUAUCAGCUGGGGUGACAGGGAUAACUGGACUAUCAGCUGAGGUGACAAGGACAACUGGACUAUCAGCUGGGGUGACAGGGACAAUUGGACUAUCAGCUGGGGUGACAGGGACAACCAGACCAUCAGCUGGAGUGACAGGGACAACUGGGCAAUCAGCUGAAGUGACAGGGACAACCGAACCAUCAGCUGGAUUGACAGAGACAACUGGAUCAUCAACUGGGGUGACAGGGGCAACUGGACCAUUAGCUGGAGUGACAGGGACAACUGGAAUAUCAACUGAAGUGACAGGGACAACUGGACCAUCAGCUGGGGUGACAGGGACAACUGGACUAUCAGCUGGAGUGACUGGGAUAACUGGGCUAUCAGCUAUAGUGACAGAGACAAUUGGACUAUCAGCUGGAGUGACACGGACAAUUGGAUCAUCAGCUGUGGUGACAGGUACAAAUGGACUAUCAGCUGAAGCGACAGGGACAACUGGACUAUCAGCUGUGCUGUCAAGGACAACUGGGCCCUCAGCUGUGGUGACAGAGACAACUGGAUCAACUGGGGUGACAAGCAUAACUGGACUAUCAGCUGGAGUGACAGGGACAACUGGACUGUCGGCUGAAGUGACAGGGACAACUGGACCAUUAGCUGGAGUGACAGGGACAACUGGAUUAUCAGCUGGGGUGACAGGGACAACUGGACUAUCAGCUAGGGUGACAGAGAGUACUGGAGUAUCAGCUGGGGUGACAGGGACAACUGGACUAUCAGCUGAAGUGACAGGUAUAAAUGGACUAUCAGCAGGAGUGACAGGGACCACUGGACCAUCAGCUGAAGAGACAGGGGCAACUGGACCAUCAGCUGAAGUGACAGGGACAACUGGAACAUCAGCUGAAGAGACAGGGGCAACUGGACCAUCAGCUGAAGUCACAGGGACAACUGGACCAUCAGCUGAAGUCACAGGGACAACUGGACCAUCAGGUGGAGUGACAGGGACAAAUGGACUAUCAGCUGAAGUGACAGCAACAACUGGCCCAUCAGCUGAAGUGACAGGGCUACCUGGAGUAUCAGCUGGGGUGACAGGGACAAUUGGAUCACCAGCUGCAGUGACAGGGACAAUUCGGCCAUCAGCUGUGGUGACAGGGAUAACUGGACUACCAGCUGAGGUGACAGGGACAACUGGACUAUCAGCUGGGGUGACAGGGAUAGCUGGACUCUCAGCUGGGGUGACAGAGGCAAUUGGAUCAUCAGCUGGGCUGACAGGUACAAAUGGACUAUCAGCUGAAGCAACAGGGACAACUGGACCAUCAGCUGGAGUGACAGGGACAACUGGACUAUCAGCUGGGGUGACAGGGACAAUUGGAUCAUCAGCUGUGGUGACAGGGACAACUGGACUGUCAGCAGGAGUGACAGGGACAACUGUACCAUCAGCUGGAAUAACAGGUACAAAUGGACUAUCAGCUGAAGUUACAGGGACAACUGGACCAUUAGCUGGAGUGACAGGGACAACUGGACUAUCAGCUGGGGUGACAGGGAUAGCUGGGCUCUCAGCUGGGGUAACAGAGAGUACUGGACUAUCAGCUGGGAUGACAGGGACAAUUGGAUCAUCAGCUGUGGUGACAGGUAUAAAUGGACUAUCAGCAGGAGUGACAGGGACCACUGGACCAUCAGCUGAAGAGACAGGGGCAACUGGGCCAUCAGCUGAAGUCACAGGGACAACUGGACCAUCAGGUGGAGUGACAGGGACAAGUGGAAUAUCAGCUGAAGUGACAGGAACAACUGGCCCAUCAGCUGAAGUGACAGGGCUACCUGGAGUAUCAGCUGGGGUGACAGGGACAAUUGGGUCACCAGCUGCAGUGACAGGGACAACUCGGCCAUCAGCUGUGGUGACAAGGAUAACUGGACUAUCAGCUGAUGUGACAGGGACAACUGGACUAUCAGCUGGGGUGACAGAGACAAUUGGAUCAUCAGCUGGGGUGACAGGUACAAAUGGACUAUCAGCUGAAGCAACAGAGACAACCGGACCAUCAGCUGGAGUGACAGGGACAACUGGACUAUCAGCUGGGGUGACAGGGACAACUGGACUAUCAGCUGGGGUGACAGGGAGAAUUAGAUCAUCAGCUGUGGUGACAGGGACAACUGGACUAUCAGCUGGAGUGACAGGGACAACUGGACCAUCAGCUGGAAUAACAGGUACAAAUGGACUAUCAGCUGCGGUGACAGGGACAACUGGACUAUCAGCUAGGGUGACAGAGAGUACUGGACUAUCAGCUGGGGUGACAGGGACAAUUGGAUCAUCAGCUGUGGUGACAGAGACAACUAGACUUUCAGCUGGAGUCACAGGGACAAUUGGACCAUCAGCUGAAGAGACAGGGGCAACUGGACUAUCAGCAGAAGUGACAGGGACAACUGGGCUAUCAGCUGGGGUGACAGGGACAAUUGGAUCAUCAGCUGCGGUGACAGGGACAACUGGACUAUCAGCUGGAAUAACAGGUACAAAUGGACUAUCAGCUGAAGUGACAGGGACAGCUGGACCAUUAGCUGGAGUGACAGGGACAACUGGACUAUCAGCUGGGGUGACAGGGACAACUGGACCAUUAGCUGGAGUGACAGGGACAACUGGCCUAUCAGCUGGGGUGACAGGGACAACUGGACUAUCAGCUGGGGUGACAGAGACAACUGGACAAUCAGCUGGGGUGACAGAGAGUACUGGACUAUCAGCUGGGGUGAUAGGGACAAUUGGAUCAUCGGCUGUGGUGACAGGGAUAAAUGGACUAUUAGCAGGAGUGACAGUGACAACUGGACCAUCAGCUGAAGAGACAGGGGCAACUGGACCAUCAGCUGAAGUCACAGGGACAACUGGACCAUCAGUUGGAGUGACAGGGACAAGUGGACUAUCAGUUGAAGUGACAGGAACAACUGGCCCAUCAGCUGAAGUGACAGGGCUACCCGGAGUAUCAGCUGGGGUGACAGGGACAAUUGGAUCAACAGCUGCAGUGAGAGGGGCAACUCGGCCAUCAGCUGUGGUGACAGAGAUAAGUGGACUAUCAGCUGAGGUGACAGGGACAACUGGACUAUCAGCUGGGGUGACAGGGAUAGCUGGACUCUCAGCUGGGGUGACAGACACAAUUGGAUCAUCAGCUGGGGUGACAGGUACAAAUGGACUAUCAGCUGAAGCAACAGGGACAACUGGACCAUCAGCUGGAGUGACAGGGACAACUGGACUAUCAGCUGGGGUGACAGGGACACCUGGACUAUCUGCUGGGGUGACAGAGACAAUUGGACUAUCAGCUGGGGUGACAGGGACUAUUGGAUCAUCAGCUGGAGUGACAGGGACAACUGGACCAUCAGCUGCUGUGACUGGGUCAGCUGGACUAUCAACUGGGGUGACAGGGACAACUGGACAGUCAGCUGAAGUGACAGGGGCAACUGGACAAUCUGUUGGAGUGACAGGGACAACUAGAUCAUCAGGUGGAGUGACAGGGAUAACUGGACUAUCAGCAGGAUUGAGAGGGACAACUGUUUCAUCUGCAAAAUUAGGGACAAAUAUACCAUUAACUGGAAAAACAGGAACAACUAGAACAUCAGUUGAAGAAUCAACGACAACUGGACCAUCAGCUGGAAUAACAGGUACAAAUGGACUAUCAGCUGAAACGACAGGGACAAAUGAACUAUCAGCUGGGGUGACAGGGACAAUUGGAUCAUCAGCUGGAGUGACAGGGACAACUGGACUGUCAGUUGAAGCAACAGUGAGAACUGGACUAUCAGCUGGAGUGACAGGGACAACUGUCCCAUUGGCUGGGGUAACAGGGACAACCGAACCAUCCGCUGGAGUGACAGGAAUAGCUGCACUAUCUGCUGGAGUGACAGGGAAAACUGGACUAUCAGCUGGAGUGACAGGGAAAACAGGACUAUCAGCUGGAGUGACAGGGACAACUGGACCGUCAGCUGAAGCAACAGGGAAAACUGGACUAUCAGCUGGAGUGACAGGGAUCACUGGACCAUUUGCUGAAGUGACAGGGACAACUGGAUUAUCAGCUGGGGUGACAGGGACCACUGGAUCAUCAGCUGAAGUGACAGGAAUAACUGGACUAUCAGCUGGGGUGACAGGGAAAACUAGAUCAUCAGCUGGGGUAACAGGGACAACUGGAUUAUCUGCAAAAUCUGGGACAAGUAUACCAUCAGCUGCAAAACCAGGAACAACCAAAACAUCAGUUGAAGAAUCAAGGACAACUAGACCAUCAGCUGGAAUAACAGGUACAAAUGGACUAUCAGCUCGAGUGACAGGGACAACUGGACCAUCAGUUUGCACAACCACUGUAAUAGGAAGAACUACAGGAGCUACAACUGGAGUGCCUGCUGCAACUUCCCCAGGAGCUGAAGGUGAAAGCAUAGCUUCCACGUCAGUUGCCACGGGAGCCAUCCCUCGGUCAACAAUUGCACCAGGAAGUACCACUACUGGUACCACUGGGGUAACCACUGGCACAACUCUUGCCCCUAGAAGUUUCAACAUAGGAACUUCUGGUGGAAUUUCUGGGAAAACCCUCAAACCUGGAAGUUAUGUCUCAGAGGCUACAACUGCUACAGGGACUCCUGGAGCAGGACCGUCAGGAGGCACCACUAUCAUUUCUCCUGAAGUCAGUACCAUUUCAGAAGUUUCCAACACAGGUAUCACUGGAGUAGGCUCUGAGACAUCUGUUGAAACAGGAAUUUCCAACACAGCUACGACUGGGGUGGCUCCUGGCACAACCCUUGCCCCUGGCAGUUCCAGUACAGAGGCCACAACUUCCAUAGGAGGAAGUGCAUCAACAAGAGGAGGAAUAGCCACAGAAGCCACAGGUUCCACAAGAAGGGUCAGGACCACUGGAUCAGAAGCUCCAGAAGGUACUUCUGGAGAAUUCUCUGGGACAACCAUUUCAUCUGGAGGCUUCCACACAGAAGCCACAACUCUCACAGGAGGUAGGGGCAGUAUUGGAACUGAAUCCAGAGCAGAGUCCACAACUUCCCUACAAGAAAGUGCAAAAACAAGAGGUGGAAUACUGACAGAGGCCACAAGUUCCACAGGAAGGAUCAGGGCGACCGGAUCAGAAGCUCCAGGAGGUACCUCCGGUAAAUUCUCUGGGACAACCAUUUCAUCUGGAGGUUCCCACACAGAGGCCACAACUCUCGCAGGUGGCAGGGACAGCACUGAAAGUGAAUUCAGAACAGCCACCACUAGGGCAGCUCCUGGCACAACUCUUGUCCCUGGCAGUUCCAAUACAGGGGCCACAGCUUCCCCAGGUGGAAGUGCAACGACAAGAGGUAGAAUAACCACCGCUACCACUGGGGCUUUCUCUGGAAAGACUCUGGAAUCUGAGAAUGACAACACAGACAAGCCACAAGUUCCACCAGAGGGGUCAGGACCACCGUGUCAGAAGCUCCAGGAGGUACUUCUGGUGAAUUCCCUGGGACAAGAAUUACAUCUGGAGGUUCCUACACAGCCACCACCAGGGCAGCUCCUGGCACAACUCUUGCCCCUGGCAGUUCCAACACGGGGGCCACAGCUUCCCUAGGUGGAAGUGCAUUGACAAGAGGUAGAAUAACCACCGCUACCACUGGGGCUUUCUCUGGAAAGACUCUGGAACCUGGGAACAACAACACAGAGGCCACAAGUUCCACCAGAGGGAUCAGGACCACCAGAUCAGAAGCUCCAGGAGAGGCCACAACUCUCACAGGAGACAGGAGCAGUACCGGAAGUGAAUCCAGAACAGCCACCACUGGAGUAGCUCCUGGCACAACUGUUGCCCCUGGCAGUUCCAAGACAGAGGCCACCACUUUCCUAGGAGUAAGUGGAACAACAAGCAUUGGAAGAGCCACGGGUGCCGCAACUUCCAUAGUAGGGAGUGACACCAGCCAAGCAGAACGUCCAGGAGGUACAACUGUGGUUUCACCUGGAGCCAGCAGCAGUUCACAGAGCUCCAGGCCAGGCACCUCUGUCACACCAGAGAGUUCAGCAUCUGAAAGUGAAACAGUUACUACAAAAGAAUUAUCUAGGACAACUGCUAUAUCUAAAACUUCCCACACCAGCACCCCUGCAGCCUCAGGAGGCCAAGCAACUGGGAGCCUGACAGCCACCACUGGGGUAGCUCCUGGCACAACUGUUGCACCUGGCAAUUCCAACACAGAGGCCACAACUUCUGUAGGAGAAAGAGAAACAACAAAAGCUGAAAUAAUCACAGGUGACACUGGAGAAUUAUCUGGAACAACCAUUAUAUCUGAAAAUUCCACCACAGCAGGCAUCACUGCAGCAACAGGGAAGCAAGCAGGCACCUCGGAGUUAGCUCCUGCCACAACAGUUGCCCCAGGAAGUUUCAGCACAGCAGCCACAACUUCUCCUGGAGCAAGUGGAAUGACUGGGGUUACAACAACUACAAAGACCACAACUUCCCUAGGAGGAAGUGGCACCACUGGAGCAGAAAUAAAAUCAGCCACCACUGGAGCACCAGGAAGUAGGACAGGCACAACUGGAGUGCCCUCUGCUACAACAGUCUCCCCUGGGAGCUCCAACUCAGAGGCCACAACUUCUGUAGGAGAAAGUGGAAAAACAGGAGCUGAAACAAUCACAGAGGCCACCACUUCCACAGAACGGACUGGUACUUCUGGAACUGGAUUCAAAACUGGCACCUCAGAGGUAGCUCCUGCCACAACAGUUGCCCCAGGAAGUUUCAGCACAGCAGCCACAACUUCUCCUGGAGCAAGUGGAAUGACUGGGGUUGCAACAACUACAAAGACCACAACUUCCCUAGGAGGAAGUGGCACCACUGGAGCAGAAAUAAAAUUAGUAGGAACCACCACUACAGCACCAGAAAGUAGGACAGCUGGAGUGCCCUCUGGCACAAGAGUCACCCCUGGGAGCUCCAACUCAGAGGCCACAACUUCUGUAGAAGAAAGCAGAAUAACAAGAGCUGAAGUAAUCACAGAGGCCACAACUUUCUCAGGAGGCAGCGGGGCCACCCAAGCAGGAUUACCCAGAGGUACCACUGGAGAAUUUUCUGGAACGACCAUUAUAUCUGGAAGUUCUAACACAGAGGCCACCACUUCCACAGAAGGGACAGGUACUUCUGGAACUGGAUUCAAAAUUGCAGGCAUCACUUCUGCCCCAGGGAAACAAGCAGGCACCUCUGGGGUAUCUCUUGCCACAACAGUUGCCCCUGGAAGUUUCAGCACAGCCACAACUUCUUCUGGAGCAAGUGGAAUAACUGGGGCUGGCCCCACCUCAGAGACCAAAACUUCCCUAGGAGGAAGUGGUACCACUGGAGCAGAAAUAAAAUCAGCUGCAGUGCCCUCUGGUACAACAGUUGCCCCUGGGAGCUCCAACUCAGAAGCCACAACUUCUGUAGGAGAAAAUGGAAAAACAAGAGGUGAAAUAAUCACAGGUACUACCGAGGGCACCUCUGGCAAAGUUCUGGAACCUGGAAGUGCCCACACAGAGGCCACAACUUUCCCAGGAGGCAGUGGGAUUACCCGAGCAGGACCGCCAGGAGGUACCACUGGAGAAUUGUCUAGAACAACCAUUAUACCUGGAAGUUCUAACACAGAGGCCACGACUUCCACAAAAGGGACUGGUACUUCUGGAACUGGCUUCAAAACUGGCACCUCUCGGGUGGCACCUGGCACAACAGUUUCCCCUGGAAGUUUCAGCACAGCCACAAUUUCCCCUGGAGCAAGUAGAACGACUGGGGCUGGACCUGCUGCAGAAACCACAACUUCCCUAGAAGGAGGUGGCACCACUGGAGCAGAAAUGAAAUCAGGAGCCACCUCCAGAGUACCGGGAAGUAACACAGGCACAGCUGGAGUGCCCUCUGCUACAACAAUUGCCCCUGGGAGCUCCAACUCAGAGGCCACGACUUCUUUAGGAGAAAGUGGAAAAACAAGAGCUGAAACAAUCACAGGUACUACUGAGGGUAAAACUCUGGCAGCUGGAAGUGCCCACACAGAGGCCACAACUUUCUCAGGAGGCAGUGGGACCACCCGAGCAGGACCACCGGGCGGCACUUCUGGCACAUCAGGAGGAUAUGUCCCUGGAAGGGAAACAGAGCCCACAACUUCCAUUGAAGAAACUGGAACUUCCAGAACUAUAUUCAAAACUGUAGGCAUCACUUCAGCCCCAGGGAGGCAAGCAGGCACCUCUGUGGUGGCGCCUAGCACAACAGUUGCCCCUGGAAGUUUCAGCACAGCAGCCACAACUUCUCCUGGAGCAAGUGGAAUGACUGGGGUUAGAACCACUUCAAAGACUACAACUUCCCUAGGUGGAACUGGCACCACUAGAACUGAAAUAAAAUCAGGAGCCACCACUGGAACACCAGGAAUUAAGACAGAUAUCAUGGGAGAAUCUUCUAGAACGACCAUUCUAUCUGGAAGUUCUAACACAGAGGCCACAAAUUCCAUUGAAGAGACUGGUACUUCUGGAACUGGAUUCAAAACCGCAGGCAUCACUGCAGCACCAGGAAAGCAAGCAGGCACCUCUGGGGUGGCACCUGGCACAACAGUUGCCCCUGGAAGUUUCAGCACAGCAGCUACAACUUCUCCUGGAGCAAGUGGAGUGACUGGCACUGGACCCACUGCAGAGACCACAACUUUCCUAGGAGGAAGUAGCACCACUGGAGCAGAAAUAAAAUCAGGAGCCACCACUGGAGCACCAGGAAGUAAGACAGGCACAGCUAAAGUGCUCUCUGGUACGACAGUUGCCCCUGGGAGCUCCAACUCAGAGGCUACAACUUUCUCUGGAAUCACUGAAGCAGUAACAGUCCCAAGUAAAAAUGGAUCUAUGACCACUGCACUGGGGAGCCAACUCUCCAGCAGUCAAACAGUGAUUCCAGGUUCCAGUGGCAUCAUCUCUCACACAACUGUUGCACCUGGAAGUUCUGUUACAGGAACCACCACUGGUGCAUCAGAUGAUCAAGUCACUGGAAGUAAAACAGGCACUACUGGUGUGGCCUUAAGCACAACUGUUGCACCUGGAAGUUCCAGCACAGAAGCCACAACUUCCACAGGAGUCCAUAGAACCACUGUAGUGGGACGGAAGACAGGAGCUACCACUAGAGGGUCAGCAAAGCAAGGAACUAGAAGCACAAUAGAAGCUAUGACGUCCUUUAGAGGCACUGGGAUGACAGGAAGUGGAAUGAAUACAGGUACUACUGGAGUGGUCUCUGGCAACACCAUCUCACCUAGCAGUUUCAACACAGAAGCUACCAGUGGCACAUCUGAGAGGCCAAACCCUGGAAGUGAAAUAGGCACCACUGGCAUAGUCUCUGGCACAACAGUUGCACCUGGAAGUUCCAACACAGAAGCCACAACUUCUUUGGGCAAUGGUGGAACCACUGAGGCUGGAAGUAAAAUAGUUACCACUGGGAUAACUACUGGCACGACCAUUGUACCUGGGAGUUUCAACACAAAGGCUACGACUUCUACAGACUUUGGAGUUGCCACUGGAGUUGGAAUGGCAACUGGGAUCACCAACAUAAUUUCAGGGAGAAGCCAACCUACAGGAAGUAAAACAGGCUACACUGUAACAGGCUCUGGAACAACAGCCUUACCUGGAGGUUUCAGAACAGGCAAUACCCCAGGAUCAACGGGAGUCACCAGCAGCCAAGAAGGAACCACUGUGGUAUCAAGUGGAAUCACUGGAAUCCCAGAAACUUCCAUCUCAGGUCCUUCCAAGGAAGCAUCUGACAAAACCACUGCUCCUGGACCUCCUACUACAGUCACUGCUUCCACAGGAGUCAAAGAAACUUCUGAAACUGGAGUGCAAACAGGCUCUACCUUGGUUACAGCUGGAAUGACAACAAGACCACAAGUAUCCCAGCCAGAAACCACUGUCGUGGCAACCAGAGAAGUAGAAACUGAAAAUAAAACAGAAUGUCUAGCCUCACUUCCACCAGCUCCAGUUUGUCACGGUCCAUUGGGAGAAGAGAAAUCUCCUGGAGACAUAUGGACUGCCAGUUGCCACAGAUGUACCUGUACUGAUGCAAAGACUAUAGACUGUAAACCUGAGGAGUGCCCUUCUCCACCCACAUGCAAAACCGGCGAGAAGCUUGUGAAGUUCCAAUCUAAUGACACCUGCUGUGAAAUCGGAUACUGUGAACCAAGAACAUGUUUAUUUAACAAUACUGACUAUGAGAUUGGUGCUUCAUUCGAUGACCCCAGCAACCCCUGUGUCUCCUACUCCUGCAAAGACACUGGCUUUGCUGCAGUAGUCCAGGACUGCCCAAAGCAAACCUGGUGUGCAGAAGUAAACAGAAUCUAUGAUUCAAAAAAAUGUUGCUAUACAUGUAAGAAUAAUUGCAGAUCUUCCGUUGUAAAUGUGACUGUUAUCUACAGUGGUUGCAAGAAAAGAGUUCAGAUGGCAAAAUGCACAGGGGAAUGUGAAAAGACUGCCAAGUACAAUUAUGAUAUCUUACUCUUGGAACAUUCAUGCCUUUGCUGCCGAGAAGAAAACUAUGAACUCAGAGACAUUGUACUUGACUGUCCUGAUGGCAGUACAAUCCCUUACCAAUACAAGCAUAUCACGACCUGCUCUUGUUUAGACAUAUGCCAACCAUAUACGACCUUCAUGUACAGUUAAUGCUGACAUCACCUUCCCAGUUUUAACAGGCCUGGUAUUUAUUUUAUAAGUGAGGAAAAAUAAUCAUUUAAAAAGUGAGAAUAAACUAAACAAUGUGAGAAUAACUCAAAACAA